Molecule: ribosomal RNA, 975 nt
Filed under: Vibrio jasicida
Lineage: Bacteria; Pseudomonadati; Pseudomonadota; Gammaproteobacteria; Vibrionales; Vibrionaceae
Description: bacterial SSU rRNA
Rfam family: Bacterial small subunit ribosomal RNA
Source: RNAcentral
GUCGAGCGGCGGACGGGUGAGUAAUGCCUAGGAAAUUGCCCUGAUGUGGGGGAUAACCAUUGGAAACGAUGGCUAAUACCGCAGGAUGCCUACGGGCCAAAGAGGGGGACCUUCGGGCCUCUCGCGUCAGGAUAUGCCUAGGUGGGAUUAGCUAGUUGGUGAGGUAAGGGCUCACCAAGGCGACGAUCCCUAGCUGGUCUGAGAGGAUGAUCAGCCACACUGGAACUGAGACACGGUCCAGACUCCUACGGGAGGCAGCAGUGGGGAAUAUUGCACAAUGGGCGCAAGCCUGAUGCAGCCAUGCCGCGUGUGUGAAGAAGGCCUUCGGGUUGUAAAGCACUUUCAGUCGUGAGGAAGGUGGUGGUGUUAAUAGCAGUAUCAUUUGACGUUAGCGACAGAAGAAGCACCGGCUAACUCCGUGCCAGCAGCCGCGGUAAUACGGAGGGUGCGAGCGUUAAUCGGAAUUACUGGGCGUAAAGCGCAUGCAGGUGGUUUGUUAAGUCAGAUGUGAAAGCCCGGGGCUCAACCUCGGAAUAGCAUUUGAAACUGGCAGACUAGAGUACUGUAGAGGGGGGUAGAAUUUCAGGUGUAGCGGUGAAAUGCGUAGAGAUCUGAAGGAAUACCGGUGGCGAAGGCGGCCCCCUGGACAGAUACUGACACUCAGAUGCGAAAGCGUGGGGAGCAAACAGGAUUAGAUACCCUGGUAGUCCACGCCGUAAACGAUGUCUACUUGGAGGUUGUGGCCUUGAGCCGUGGCUUUCGGAGCUAACGCGUUAAGUAGACCGCCUGGGGAGUACGGUCGCAAGAUUAAAACUCAAAUGAAUUGACGGGGGCCCGCACAAGCGGUGGAGCAUGUGGUUUAAUUCGAUGCAACGCGAAGAACCUUACCUACUCUUGACAUCCAGAGAACUUUCCAGAGAUGGAUUGGUGCCUUCGGGAACUCUGAGACAGGUGCUGCAUGGCUGUCGUCAGCUC